This 192-nucleotide small nuclear RNA is filed under the name Lepeophtheirus salmonis (salmon louse). Its description in RNAcentral is "U2 spliceosomal RNA". It matches the Rfam family "U2 spliceosomal RNA". Rfam says of the family: U2 is a small nuclear RNA (snRNA) component of the spliceosome (involved in pre-mRNA splicing). Complementary binding between U2 snRNA (in an area lying towards the 5' end but 3' to hairpin I) and the branchpoint sequence (BPS) of the intron results the bulging out of an unpaired adenosine, on the BPS, which initiates a nucleophilic attack at the intronic 5' splice site, thus starting the first of two transesterification reactions that mediate splicing. Lineage: Eukaryota; Metazoa; Arthropoda; Copepoda; Siphonostomatoida; Caligidae. The record is from Rfam by way of RNAcentral.
AUCGCUUCUCGGCCUUUUGGCUAAGAUCAAAGUGUAGUAUCUGUUCUUAUCAGCUUAAUAUCUGAUACGAGGACCAUGUGUCCUCUUCGAUAUUAAACUUAUUUCUGUUUCGGGGUGGAAGUGCGGUGCUUGCGCUGUCUCCACUACGAGUCGACCUGGUAUUGCAGUACCUCCAGGACCGGCUCACCACCC